This 483-nucleotide ribosomal RNA is filed under the name uncultured bacterium. Its description in RNAcentral is "partial 16S ribosomal RNA". It matches the Rfam family "Bacterial small subunit ribosomal RNA", at positions 29 to 507 of the family's 1533-position model. The record is from RNAcentral.
UUGCACGCUGGCGGCCUGCUUUACACAUGCAAGUCGAACGGCAGCGCGGGCUUCGGCCUGGCGGCGAGUGGCGAACGGGUGAGUAAUACAUCGGAACGUGCCCAGUAGUGGGGGAUAGCUCGGCGAAAGCCGGAUUAAUACCGCAUACGACCUGAGGGUGAAAGCGGGGGAUCUUCGGACCUCGCGCUAUUGGAGCGGCCGAUGGCAGAUUAGCUAGUUGGUGGGGUAAAGGCCUACCAAGGCGACGAUCUGUAGCUGGUCUGAGAGGACGACCAGCCACACUGGGACUGAGACACGGCCCAGACUCCUACGGGAGGCAGCAGUGGGGAAUUUUGGACAAUGGGCGAAAGCCUGAUCCAGCAAUGCCGCGUGUGUGAUGAAGGCCUUCGGAUUGUAAAGCACUUUUGGCGGGAACGAAAAGGACUGUGCCAAUACCACGGUUCGAUGACGGUACCCGCAGAAUAAGCACCGGCUAACUACGUG